This 1670-nucleotide ribosomal RNA is filed under the name Dermogenys pusilla (wrestling halfbeak). RNAcentral's name for it is "16S ribosomal RNA". The stretch from base 94 to 1554 matches the Rfam family "Bacterial large subunit ribosomal RNA". The record is from RNAcentral. Lineage: Eukaryota; Metazoa; Chordata; Actinopteri; Beloniformes; Zenarchopteridae.
CGCCCAAAAGCUAGCCUACAACCCAAAACCAACACCCACUAUUAAUAACCCCUAAAACACUUAAAAAAUUAAACAAACCAUUUUUCCUUUUUAGUAUGAGAGACAGAAAAAUAUAACAGAGCUAUAGAUACAAGUACCGCAAGGGAAAGCUGAAAAAGAAAUGAAAUAAACCAUCAAAGCCAAAAAAAGCAGAGCUACAACCUCGUACCUUUUGCAUCAUGAAUUAACUAGUAAAACCUAAGCAAAAAGAUUUUUAGUUUAGUAAACCGAAACUAAGUGAGCUACUUCAAGACAGCCCAAAAGGGGGCAAACCCGUCUCUGUGGCAAAAGAGUGGGAAGAUCUUUGAGUAGAGGUGACAGACCUACCGAACUUAGUAAUAGCUGGUUAUCUGAGAAAUGAAUACAAGUUCAGCCUAUUGCUUUUUUAAACCAACCAUAAUCAUUUAUUUAGGCACCUAAAAUCAAUAGAGUUAGUCAAAAGAGGUACAGCUCUUUUGAAAAAGAUACAACUUUUAUAGGAGGAAAAAGACUAUAUUAACAAAGGCAUUACGUUUAAGUGGGCCUAAAAGCAGCCAACCCGAGAGAAAGGCUCAAAGCUCAAACAUAAAGAAAGCCCUUAAUAAUAGUAAACAAAUCUCAAACCCCUUAAUUUAUCAGAAUUUUCCACUAAGUGUGGAAACAAUUAUGUUAAUAUGAGUAAUAAGAGGCACAAACCUCUCCAAGCACAAGUGUAAAUCAAUACAGAUUAACUAUUGAAUAUUAACGGCCCCAAAUAAAGAGGGUAUUACAAAAAAAAUAUAAAACAAGAAAACCUUGUACAAAUAACCGUUAACCCCACACUGGUGUGCCUUCCGGAAAGACUAAAAGAAAAAGAAGGAACUCGGCAAAUAAAAGCCUCGCCUGUUUACCAAAAACACCGCCUCUUGCAACUCAAGUAUAAGAGGUCCCGCCUGCCCUGUGACACCAGUUUAACGGCCGCGGUAUUUUAACCGUGCAAAGGUAGCGCAAUCACUUGUUUUUUAAAUGAAGACCUGUAUGAAUGGCAUAACGAGGGCUUAACUGUCUCCUUUUUCCAGUCAAUGAAAUUGAUCUCCGCGUGCAGAAGCGGGGAUAAACCCAUAAGACGAGAAGACCCUGUGGAGCUUUAGAUAAUAUGAUGGACCAUGUUAACUAAACCUUACUUAACAAGAACAAACCAAUUGGAACCCACCUUAAUAUCUUUGGUUGGGGCGACCGCGGGGCAAUAAAAAACCCCCAUGUGGAAUAAGAGAAUCUUCUCUUAUAACCAAGACUGACAAGUCUAAGCAUCAGAACAUUUGACCAAAAAUGAUCCGGCAAUGCCGAUUAACGAACCGAGUUACCCUAGGGAUAACAGCGCAAUCCUCUCCUAGAGACCCUAUCGACGAGAGGGUUUACGACCUCGAUGUUGGAUCAGGACAUCCUAAUGGCGCAGCCGUUAUUAAGGGUUCGUUUGUUCAACGAUUAAAGUCCUACGUGAUCUGAGUUCAGACCGGAGAAAUCCAGGUCAGUUUCUAUCUAUGAUGUCUCUUCCCCUAGUACGAAAGGACCGAAGAAGAAAGGCCUAUACUUAAAGCAAGCCUUACCCUUACCUAAUUGAUACCCACUCAAAUAGGUAAAAGAGGACAUCAUCCUUCCAAAGAUAAUGGCUU